CCUGCAGAGCAUGGCGCUGGAGCAGGUGAACCUGUCGCCGCGGGUGGCGCCGUCGCCGGGCGCGCGGGCAGGCUGCCGCUGCCGAUCCCGUCGCCGCGCCCCAGCCCGAGGAUCAGGCUGUCGCCGCGGCUCCACUACAUGGGGCUCCCGACCCCGACCAGCGCCAGGCUCCCAAUCCCGAGCCCGGCGCCGGGGGCCACCAGGCGGUCGCCCAAGCAGCAGUUCAUGGGGUUCCAGACGCCGGCCGUGGCGCUCACGCUCCCCAAGCACAAAGGCAAGUGAGCCGGCGGCGCUGCUCAUUGACAUGGCCGGCCGGCCUCGCCGUGUCGCCGCAGUUGCAGACUUUGCACCGCCGUUUUCGAAGGCGUUGCAGCGUUCGUUCAAUUGGUUAGAUGAGGGUUAACAAUUUUGUUGGUUGUUUGUCGUAAGAUG
Molecule: long non-coding RNA, 432 nt
Filed under: Setaria italica (foxtail millet)
Lineage: Eukaryota; Viridiplantae; Streptophyta; Magnoliopsida; Poales; Poaceae
Description: long non-coding RNA (SITA_LNC007481)
Source: RNAcentral